GACGAACGCUGGCGGCGUGCCUAAUACAUGCAAGUUGAGCGAUGAAGAUUGGUGCUUGCACCAAUUUGAAGAGCAGCGCACGGGUGAGUAACGCGUGGGGAAUCUGCCUUUGAGCGGGGGACAACAUUUGGAAACGAAUGCUAAUACCGCAUAACAACUUUAAACAUAAGUUUUAAGUUUGAAAGAUGCAAUUGCAUCACUCAAAGAUGAUCCCGCGUUGUAUUAGCUAGUUGGUGAGGUAAAGGCUCACCAAGGCGAUGAUACAUAGCCGACCUGAGAGGGUGAUCGGCCACAUUGGGACUGAGACACGGCCCAAACUCCUACGGGAGGCAGCAGUAGGGAAUCUUCGGCAAUGGACGAAAGUCUGACCGAGCAACGCCGCGUGAGUGAAGAAGGUUUUCGGAUCGUAAAACUCUGUUGGUAGAGAAGAACGUUGGUGAGAGUGGAAAGCUCAUCAAGUGACGGUAACUACCCAGAAAGGGACGGCUGACUACGUG
Molecule: ribosomal RNA, 497 nt
Filed under: uncultured bacterium
Lineage: Bacteria
Description: partial 16S ribosomal RNA
Rfam family: Bacterial small subunit ribosomal RNA
Source: RNAcentral